AUUGAACGCUGGCGGCAGGCCUAACACAUGCAAGUCGAACGGUAACAGGAAGAAGCUUGCUUCUUUGCUGACGAGUGGCGGACGGGUGAGUAAUGUCUGGGAAACUGCCUGAUGGAGGGGGAUAACUACUGGAAACGGUAGCUAAUACCGCAUAACGUCGCAAGACCAAAGAGGGGGACCUUCGGGCCUCUUGCCAUCGGCUGUGCCCAGAUGUGAUUAGCUAGUAGGUGGGGUAACGGCUCACCUAGGCGACGAUCCCUAGCUGGUCUGAGAGGAUGACCAGCCACACUGGAACUGAGACACGGUCCAGACUCCUACGGGAGGCAGCAGUGGGGAAUAUUGCACAAUGGGCGCAAGCCUGAUGCAGCCAUGCCGCGUGUAUGAAGAAGGCCUUCGGGUUGUAAAGUACUUUCAGCGGGGAGGAAGGGAGUAAAGUUAAUACCUUUGCUCAUUGACGUUACCCGCAGAAGAAGCACCGGCUAACUCCGUG
Molecule: ribosomal RNA, 490 nt
Filed under: uncultured bacterium
Lineage: Bacteria
Description: partial 16S ribosomal RNA
Rfam family: Bacterial small subunit ribosomal RNA
Source: RNAcentral